UCCCUGGAGGACUAGUGUUUAGGCCACGGCAGUCUCACCUCUGCGGCCCGGGUUCAACUCCCAGCCAGGGAA
RNAcentral lists this transfer RNA (72 nucleotides) under Pangasianodon hypophthalmus (striped catfish). RNAcentral's name for it is "tRNA-Glu". The record is from RNAcentral. Lineage: Eukaryota; Metazoa; Chordata; Actinopteri; Siluriformes; Pangasiidae.